AACGAACGCUGGCGGCAUGCCUAACACAUGCAAGUCGAACGACACCUUCGGGUCUAGUUGCGCACGGGUGCGUAACGCGUGGGAACCUGCCCUUAGGUUCGGAAUACCUCCCCGUAAGGGGUGCUAAUACCGGAUAAUGUCUUCGGACCAAACAUUUAUCGCCUUUGGAUGGGCCCGCGUUGGAUUAGCUAGUUGGUAUGGUAAAAGCCUACCAAGGCGAGGAUACAUAGCUGGUCUGAGAGGAUGAUCAGCCACACUGGGACUGAGACACGGCCCAGAAUCCUACGGGAGGCAGCAGAGGGGAAUAUUGGACAACGGGCGAAAGCCUGAUCCAGCAAUGCCGCGUGAGUGAUGAAGGCCUUAGGGUUGUAAAGCUCUUUUACCCGGGAUGAUAAUGACAGUACCGGGAGAAUAAGCACCGGCUAACUCCGUG
Molecule: ribosomal RNA, 433 nt
Filed under: uncultured bacterium
Lineage: Bacteria
Description: partial 16S ribosomal RNA
Rfam family: Bacterial small subunit ribosomal RNA
Source: RNAcentral